This is a long non-coding RNA of Onychostoma macrolepis, 1748 nucleotides long. RefSeq lists it as uncharacterized. Lineage: Eukaryota; Metazoa; Chordata; Actinopteri; Cypriniformes; Cyprinidae. The record is from RefSeq and is a predicted model, not a curated record. The transcript has 4 exons.
CACCAUGGUAUUACAGAUUAUUUUCUUUAUUUCUUUCUGUCAGAUUGCACUUUUAUGCCUCCAUUUGUUGGAUUUUAAAUACUUUUGUUGUAUAACUUAAAUACUGCAAUAACUGAAAAAUAGUUUUUAGUUUAGAAACAAAUGUAAAAUUAUUUGAAGGUAGAUAUUGUUUUCCCUGAAACUUUAAAGCAAACAUUAAAAAUAUUAUUGAACUAAAUAUGGCUCAACACAUUGAUUUCAUUAAAAAUACACUAAUUAUAACAAUCAGUACAAGUGUAAUAUUUAGAAUUUUUAUUUCCCUAAUGAAAUAAGUUUCAAUUAUUCAGAAAUAAUUGUUUAACAAUUAAUAUAAUAAAAAAGUAUGCUGUUGUCAAGAAGAAGAAAAUGUCCUCGCGCACCUGCUGUCUGCUCGCGCGCGCGCAAGUGCGAUUUCAAAUACAAAGCAUCAUUAACGGUUCCUCUCCUCAAAGAAACAACCACAGCGCAGGACUGUCUAACAAAAGGUGAGUAAAUUCUCCAAAAUAAAUAUACAGAUUUACUAUUUGUACACAAAUUUCUGUACUGACACGCUUAACUGUAUGUUUUUAUAUUUAAAUGUUUGUUGUUUACCAUUUUAACCGCUAAUUUAAUAGCCGCGAUGCUAGCUAUCAUAAUGAACUUCGUGGGACGAAAUGGAGAGUAUUAAAUCACAAACGGCGAUUUUUAGUCAGCUUUGUUCAUUAUAUUCACUUUUAGUCAUUGUAACUCUGUUCUUUUCUGAACUAAUUUGUUGUCGUUUACGUUUGUUAAUCGUUACCCAUCCAUGUUACAUGUAGACUAUCUAAUAGCUUAUUUUUCGAUUCAUUUAACUUACAGAAAAAAACUGUUUUUGUCCUUUUCUCUCCUCAGAACCUAUACAUUUAACAGGGUUCACUGAGCAGCACUAAUCAGUUAAUGAAGACGUUGUAUGUUUCAUGAAUAUGGCUCUGUAGUGGACUGCUGGAGCUGCUGAUGUCUGUUGCUGGCUGACAAUAAAGUGAUCUCUUUGGACUUACCUCAUCUUUUGAAGAAAUCCGAGCCUUGCUCCUGAUCCUGCUGUGCUGGAUGGUAUAUUAUUAAUUGAGAAUCUUACACUAACUGUGGUAAUGGAGACCCAUUUGGUGAGAGCAGCACUGCAGAUUUUCCUGAUGGUGAGGAGCUACUUGCUGACGAACCCACCAACAUGAUUUCACCUUAUAAGUGCCUUUGUUCUAUUCAACAUUAUACAGAAAAGCUGUUAAACGUACAGCAAAGUGUACUAUUUUUCUGCUGCAUUUGUUGGGUAUUCAAGAGGAGAUCAUCAAGCUACCUACAGCUGUCUUGAGGCUUAUCAAUUUCUUAAAAUUUCCUGUGUGAAUUUUCCCAAUCUGUGACCUCCAUUUAGAACAAGAAAGAAUGUUAUCAUUGACUGCGAUGUACAUUAAAUUUGCUCAUUUGAAUUGUACUAUUUUUGAGGUAUGAUUGUUUUAAAGUUCUAAGAUAUUUGAGUCACAUUUAUUUGUUUAUGGUUUUGUCAAGGUGUAAGUUUUUUAUUUUUUUUAUUUAUAACAAUAUUAACACUGGUGUUCCCAUGAAUUUGAUUGUGAUGUGCAGUAUUGAUUAUUUAUUUGAAACUUCUAUGGAUAUUGUUGUUGUUAAUCAAUAAACAAUGUUUGAUAUGUAUUCAUUUUAGUUUUUCUGUUUGUUUAUUAAAAUAAUUAAAUGUCAAUAGCAGGAACAAUAAACUAGAG